This 253-nucleotide ribosomal RNA is filed under the name uncultured bacterium. RNAcentral describes it as "partial 16S ribosomal RNA". It matches the Rfam family "Bacterial small subunit ribosomal RNA", at positions 524 to 776 of the family's 1533-position model. The record is from RNAcentral.
UACGUAGGGUGCAAGCGUUGUUCGGAAUUACUGGGCGUAAAGCGCACGUAGGCGGCUUUGUAAGUUAGAGGUGAAAGCCCGGGGCUCAACUCCGGAAUUGCCUUUAAGACUGCAUCGCUUGAAUCCAGGAGAGGUGAGUGGAAUUCCGAGUGUAGAGGUGAAAUCCGUAGAUAUUCGGAAGAACACCAGUGGCGAAGGCGGCUCACUGGACUGGUAUUGACGCUGAGGUGCGAAAGCGUGGGGAGCAAACAGG